GUCAGGCUAGCUCAGUCGGUAGAGCACUGGACUCUUAAUCCCAGAGUUCUGGGUUCAAGUCCCAUUUUAGGCA
This 73-nucleotide transfer RNA is filed under the name Rattus norvegicus (Norway rat). It matches the Rfam family "tRNA". From Rfam's summary of the family: Transfer RNA (tRNA) molecules are approximately 80 nucleotides in length. The record is from Rfam by way of RNAcentral. Lineage: Eukaryota; Metazoa; Chordata; Mammalia; Rodentia; Muridae.